This is an unclassified non-coding RNA of Myotis lucifugus (little brown bat), 314 nucleotides long. Its record names the gene 7SK. It matches the Rfam family "7SK RNA". Rfam says of the family: 7SK was discovered as an abundant small nuclear RNA in the mid-70s but a possible function has only recently been suggested. Two independent studies have found that 7SK RNA binds the CDK9/cyclin T complex (known as elongation factor P-TEFb). Lineage: Eukaryota; Metazoa; Chordata; Mammalia; Chiroptera; Vespertilionidae. The record is from Ensembl.
GGAUGUGAGGGCGAUCUGACUGCGACAUCUGUCACCCCAUUGAUCGCCAGGGUUGAUUCGGCUGAUCUGGCUGGCUAGGCGGGUGUCCCCCUCCUCCCUCACUGAUCCAUGUGCGUCCCUCCCGAAGCUGCGCGCUCGGUCGAAGAGGACUACCUUCCCCCUGAGGAGAGGACCGGUCUUCAGUCAAGGGUAUACGAGUAGCUGCGCUCCCCUGCUAGAACCUCCAAACAAGCUCUCAAAACCCUAGAGACUCCAUCAAAAAGCUAGUAGACUUAGUACAUUAGUAGACUUAAUACAUGAAUUUGGCAAUGUAG